CGGGGUUGCUAAGGGAGAUCUAUCAAUUUGUGCCCCCCUUCCACUCAUUGGGGCACAUGAGGAAUAUAAGGCUGCGACCCAUCUACUAGAACAGAUCAAGCCAGAAGCAGUGAUAUGGGAGCAAAUCUAUAUUCUAUACAGAGGAAAGUAGAACACACAAAAAAUCUGAGGUGCUGCUGUCCACCCAAACCAACUCUGAGGCAGUUCAGCCUGAGCAAGACAUGUGGCAAGACUUCCCCGUAAGCGGCAUGAAGUCUUGCGCUCUCGCAUCUCCUGAAAAACAUGAAGCCGG
Hyla sarda is the source of this 292-nucleotide long non-coding RNA. RefSeq lists it as uncharacterized. The transcript has 3 exons. The record is from RefSeq and is a predicted model, not a curated record. Lineage: Eukaryota; Metazoa; Chordata; Amphibia; Anura; Hylidae.